CUCCCCCUCCCCCCCCGCGCGCGGCGGGCGGGGCCCGGGCAUCGCUGGCCUACGGGACCCAGCGUUUAAUAUUGGCAAUAUCCAAGUCUGAACCAGCCAUGCCGCGUGAAGAUGAAGGCCCUAUGGGUGUAAACUUUCUUUCUCGGGGCGAAAAAAGGGAAUUCUUUCCCGUCUGACGGUACCCAGAAGCCU
This 192-nucleotide ribosomal RNA is filed under the name uncultured bacterium. RNAcentral describes it as "partial 16S ribosomal RNA". The record is from RNAcentral.